UACGGGGGAUGCAAGCGUUAUCCGGAUUUAUUGGGUUUAAAGGGUGCGUAGGCGGGCUUUUAAGUCAGCGGUAAAAAUUCGGGGCUCAACCCCGUCCGGCCGUUGAAACUGGGGGUCUUGAGUGGGCGAGAAGAAGGCGGAAUGCGUGGUGUAGCGGUGAAAUGCAUAGAUAUCACGCAGAACCCCGAUUGCGAAGGCAGCCUUCCGGCGCCCUACUGACGCUGAGGCACGAAAGUGCGGGGAUCGAACAGG
Molecule: ribosomal RNA, 252 nt
Filed under: uncultured bacterium
Lineage: Bacteria
Description: partial 16S ribosomal RNA
Rfam family: Bacterial small subunit ribosomal RNA
Source: RNAcentral